CACGAACAAAAUGUUAAUUCGUUAACUUAAGGAAAUAUAUUGAAAAUAUUAGCUAAGAAAUAAAGUGAAAUUAUAAUAUAUUAAUAGAAAUCCCUACUAUAAGAGCCUGAAAAUGUAAGGCUAUUGGAUCCUGCAGCCUGGCCCAAGAAGCUAAGGACACUAGGACCUUAGAAGAGGCAUCAUUUUCCAGCUCUGAGUUCUUCAUCCAAUUAUUCUUUCUCUCUCUAAACUCAGCUCCAUUUCUUCUUCUUGCUCUGACUUCUCUCUACUUUUCCACCACUUAGGUAGUGUGCUUUCGUUCACGGAGUUGAGAGCUUCCCAUUCAUCCAAUUAAAAUUCUGCUUUGGACGGAUCCUGUUGAACUUGCUUCUGUGCAAGAGUACUGUUUUGGGAUUUCUUCUAAAGAGUGUUGUGCUUGUAACCACUAAGGU
This 431-nucleotide small RNA is filed under the name Vigna angularis var. angularis. Its description in RNAcentral is "Non-protein coding transcript". The record is from RNAcentral. Lineage: Eukaryota; Viridiplantae; Streptophyta; Magnoliopsida; Fabales; Fabaceae.